GACGAACGCUGGCGGCGUGCCUAAUACAUGCAAGUCGAGCGGACUUUCAAGAAGCUUGCUUUUUGAAAGUUAGCGGCGGACGGGUGAGUAACACGUGGGCAACCUGCCUGUAAGACGGGGAUAACUCCGGGAAACCGGGGCUAAUACCGGAUAAUAUCUUUCUUCGCAUGAAGGAAGGUUGAAAGGCGGCGCAAGCUGCCGCUUGCAGAUGGGCCCGCGGCGCAUUAGCUAGUUGGUGAGGUAACGGCUCACCAAGGCGACGAUGCGUAGCCGAGCUGAGAGGGUGAUCGGCCACACGGGGACUGAGAAACGGCCCAGACUCCUACGGGAGGCAGCAGUAGGGAAUCUUCCGCAAUGGACGAAAGUCUGACGGAGCAACGCCGCGUGAGCGAAGAAGGUCUUCGGAUCGUAAAGCUCUGUUGUCAGGGAAGAACAAGUACCGUUCGAAUAGGGCGGUACCUUGACGGUACCUGACCAGAAAGCCACGGCUAACUACGUGCCAGCAGCCGCCGUAA
This 515-nucleotide ribosomal RNA is filed under the name uncultured bacterium. RNAcentral's name for it is "partial 16S ribosomal RNA". It matches the Rfam family "Bacterial small subunit ribosomal RNA", at positions 28 to 523 of the family's 1533-position model. The record is from RNAcentral.